Molecule: transfer RNA, 87 nt
Filed under: Deltaproteobacteria bacterium
Lineage: Bacteria; Pseudomonadati; Myxococcota; Myxococcia
Description: tRNA-Leu
Rfam family: tRNA
About the family: Transfer RNA (tRNA) molecules are approximately 80 nucleotides in length. Their secondary structure includes four short double-helical elements and three loops (D, anti-codon, and T loops).
Source: RNAcentral
GCGCAGGUGGCGGAAUUGGUAGACGCAUCAGCUUGAGGGGCUGACGGCAGCAAUGUUGUGGGGGUUCGAGUCCCCCCCUGCGCACCA